Anolis carolinensis (green anole) is the source of this 1419-nucleotide long non-coding RNA. RefSeq lists it as uncharacterized. NCBI's taxonomy places the organism in Eukaryota, Metazoa, Chordata, Lepidosauria, Squamata, Anolidae. The transcript has 2 exons. The record is from RefSeq and is a predicted model, not a curated record.
CAUAGAGGUACGGGGGAGGCCGUCGUCGUGUAUGCCCGACUUCCGGUUAGGCUGAGUCCCGAGAUUUCAGCCCUGCGUUGGAGCACAAGAGUGGCAGGUGUAUUACUCUUGCCUGAAAACCAAAGGUGUGCCUCCACACUCACCUUUGGAUGGCGCAGCAGAAACCUGGCCGCCUGUUCAAAAUACUCAAGAUGGAAAUCGCCCAUGACUUGAGGGAGAUCCUCAAAAUUAAAAUAUGGCAAGGCAAGAGCAGCAAAGCCAUGUGUGGCCAGAAGGCUGGAUCGGAAUUCAAUUAACCCGCCUUCAUCACCAAACAUAUCUAUCACUCCUGGAAAGGGGCCAUUUCCUAAUAAUAAAAACAGAAAGAAUAAUGAUGUUGGGACAGGACACUGAAAGAAUAUAAAGGAAGACAAUCUGUUUUAUAUAUAUAUACUAGCUUGGGUACCUGGUGUUGCCUGGGUUAUUUGAAAAAGUCUAUUUUUAAUUGUACAAAAUACAUAAGAUUGUGGAUUAACUACAACUGACAUAAUGCCAGGUUAACCCCGAGAAGGUCCAUCAGUACUUAAAGUUUGUUAUCUUGUGCAAGUUUGCUCUGGAUGCAUCAUUGGUGGGUUCAGUGUGCUCUCUGGCUGUAGGGUAAACUACAGCUCUCACUAUGGUGAAUCAGUCACUCCCUUCAAACCCCUCCAGUAGGUUGAGUUAGUUAUGGGGGUUAUGUGUGCCAAGUUUGGACCAGGUCCACCAUUGGUGGAGGUCACAGUUUCUCUGGUUGUGGGUGAACUACAACUCCCAGAAAAGGUCAGUUUCUCCCAAAUCCCUCCAGUAAUCAAAUUUCGGCAAUCAGGUGUGUGCGCCAAGUUUGGUCCAGAUCCAUCAGUGUUUGGGUUCACAGUGCUCUCUGGAUGUAGGUGAACUACAACUACCCCAAAUCAAAGUGAAUUUUCCCCAAAGACCUCCAGUAUUUUUUGCUGGGCAUGGAGGCUCCAUGUGCCAAGUUUGGUCCAAUUCCAUCUUUGGUGGAGUUCAGAGUGCUCACUGAUUGGAGGUGAACUUAUUAAUCCUAGUACCUACAACUCCAAAAUGUCCGGGCCAAUUCCCCUCAAAACCCACAAAUACUCAAAUUUGGGCAUAUCGGGUCUGCAAUGCCAGGUUUGGUCCAGAUCCAUCAUGGUUUGGGUUCACAGUGUGUUAGGUGAACUACAACUCCUAUAAAUCCCUCCAAAGACCUCUGGUAUUUUUUGUUGGUCGUGGGGGGUUCUGUGUGCCAAGUUAGUUCCGGGACCAUCAUUGGUGGAGUUCAGAUUGCUCUUGGAUUGCAGGUGAACUAUGCAUCCCAAUACCUAUAACUGCUAUAAAUCAUGGGGAAUUCUCCCCAAACCUGUCUAGUAUGUUCAGUUGCUAAUAAAUUCUAGUAUAUUC